GAUGAACGCUAGCGGCAGGCUUAAUACAUGCAAGUCGAACGAACAGCAAUGUUAGUGGCGCACGGGUGCGUAACGCGUAUGCAACUUGCCUUUAACUGGGGGAUAACGUUUCGAAAGAGGCGCUAAUACCGCAUAAUACAGUGAAGACACAUGUUUUUAUUGUUAAAGCUCCGGCGGCUAAAGAUGGGCAUGCGUAGGAUUAGCUAGUUGGUAAGGUAACGGCUUACCAUGGCGACGAUGGGUAGGGGUCCUGAGAGGGAGAUCCCCCACACUGGUACUGAGACACGGACCAGACUCCUACGGGAGGCAGCAGUGAGGAAUAUUGGACAAUGGGGCGCAAGCCUGAUCCAGCCAUGCCGCGUGCAGGAUGACGGUCCUAUGGAUUG
This 386-nucleotide ribosomal RNA is filed under the name uncultured bacterium. RNAcentral describes it as "bacterial SSU rRNA". It matches the Rfam family "Bacterial small subunit ribosomal RNA", at positions 28 to 425 of the family's 1533-position model. The record is from RNAcentral.